Molecule: long non-coding RNA, 1193 nt
Filed under: Phasianus colchicus (ring-necked pheasant)
Lineage: Eukaryota; Metazoa; Chordata; Aves; Galliformes; Phasianidae
Description: lncRNA (ENSPCLG00000008758.1)
Source: RNAcentral
GUUGCUAGCCAUGAAUUUUAUAUGUAUACACUAAAAGAAGAAUUGCAUUAGUAUGUAUUGAUUUAGGAAACCUAUCUGUUAGUAAUUCCUAGACAAUUCUGUCUCUUCUUCCCUCAGCACCUAGAUAAAAUGGCAGACAUCAUAGUGAUGAGAAUAGCACGUUAGUCCUCAUCUGGGAGGAGAAAACCUCUCAUUGCCUAACUCCAGGAGUUGUUUUCUUCCAAUGACUUUCUUCUUGAUCUUCAAAACAAAAGCCUCCCAUGCCUGUGACCAGUGAAGCUGCCUCAUUCCCAGGACAAUCCCUGUUGGAAGCCCAAGUCCAGCCUCAAUCCAUCAAGCUUUAUGGCCUCCUAGGGCUUCGCAGGAAAGGAUCCCAGCUGGUGAUCUGUUUGUCACCAUGGUUAGCAGGAGGGUUCCCAGGGCAUCAGGACCUUCCACAAGAGAAAUUCCUCUAGUACAGACUAUUGGGUAUGUUCAGAUAUUCCUCUCAGCUUUCCAACUAGAGUGCCCAAAAAUAGUUUAGAGGAGACUUGCAGGUAUGUAAUAUAAAUCUUCAUUGCAGCAGGAUGACAGAAGCACUUCUGCAUGCAUCUCCCAGAGGAAACCCAGAGGGCAGAAUUUGAGCCAUAAGAUCUUUAAAAUAAGGAACGUUACUUUCCUUCUUUCUGGAGCAGAGGAUAUUACCUAUGAAAGGAGAUCUGGACGUGACUUCAGGGGCUGGUGGUGCCCAGGACCAAAUUGGAGCCACAUCACACCCAGUGCUGAGGAGCCACCUCAUGCCUAGUGCAGAGGAGUCACGUCAGUGGAACUGGAAUUCUUCUCAUAUCUGCUUUGGUUGCUGGACUUGUGCACGUAUGAGAGCCUGCCCUCCAGUCCCUUCAGCAAGAAUCUUCUGUAUUUCAGCACCCUGCCCACAUACAUGAAUGAUGGAGUCAGCAUGCAGAGCAGAGGCAGGCAUGCAUGAACACCAAAACAAAGCCAGUUUGGUCUAGUUUUAGGCCAGAUCACUUUGAGAGUAUCCUUUCAGUAGGGAGUUAUGGGUUUUCAGAUUUCUAUUCAGAUUAGCUUCAUUUACUGACAGUAAUAGAGAAUCACUUUUCUGCUGGUAUUUCAUUUUUUGCCAUAUGCCCAAAUUUUGCCAAGAAUAAUCCCGUCCUCCUCUCCAAUGUAAUAAAAUCUCUAUACAUUCUCCA